Molecule: transfer RNA, 89 nt
Filed under: Lachnospiraceae bacterium
Lineage: Bacteria; Bacillati; Bacillota; Clostridia; Lachnospirales; Lachnospiraceae
Description: tRNA-Ser
Rfam family: tRNA
About the family: Transfer RNA (tRNA) molecules are approximately 80 nucleotides in length. Their secondary structure includes four short double-helical elements and three loops (D, anti-codon, and T loops).
Source: RNAcentral
GGAGAAAUACCCAAGAGGCCGAAGGGGCUCCCCUGGAAAGGGAGUAGGUCGGGAGAACCGGCGCGAGGGUUCGACUCCCUCUUUCUCCG